Molecule: ribosomal RNA, 497 nt
Filed under: uncultured bacterium
Lineage: Bacteria
Description: partial 16S ribosomal RNA
Rfam family: Bacterial small subunit ribosomal RNA
Source: RNAcentral
GAUGAACGCUGGCGGCGUGCCUAAUACAUGCAAGUCGAGCGAACGGACGAGAAGCUUGCUUCUCUGAUAUUAGCAGCGGACGGGUGAGUCAAACGUGGAUAACCUACCUAUAAGACUGGGAUAACUUCGGGAAACCGGAGCUAAUACCGGAUAAUAUUUUGAACCGCAUGGUUCUAAAGUGAAAGACGGUCUUUCUUUCACUUCUAGAUGGAUCCGCGCUACAUUAGCUAGUUGGUAGGGUAACGGCUUACCAAGGCAACGAUGCAUAGCCGACCUGAGAGAGUGGCGGGCUACACAGAAGGUUGAACAGGAUCGAGACGACUACAGGACGCAGUAGGAGGGAAUCUUCCACAAUGGUCGAAAGCCUGACGGGGCAACGCAGCGUGAGUGAUGAAGAUCUUAGGAGCGUAAAACUCUGUUAUUAGAGAAGAACAUAUGUGUAAGUAACUAAGCACAUCUUGACGGUACCUAAUAAGAAAACCACGGCUAACUACGUG